Oreochromis aureus is the source of this 1706-nucleotide long non-coding RNA. RefSeq lists it as uncharacterized. NCBI's taxonomy places the organism in Eukaryota, Metazoa, Chordata, Actinopteri, Cichliformes, Cichlidae. The record is from RefSeq and is a predicted model, not a curated record. The transcript is spliced from 2 exons.
UAUGUUCCAGCUGCUCUACAGACGCUGUGACCUCGAACUUAAGCAGGUCGUAAAGUAUGUGCAGCUCAAUAACUUCAUAAUUAGACCCUGUGGUAUUUAGGCAGCAGAACAACUAAGAAUAACAACUACAAAUAAUGUUUUUAGGUUUCUGUUGUACUGCAAGGUUCUGUACAGGAGAACCAAACCAAGAGCAAAUAUUACGUCUCAUUUACACCCGAGCACGAAGAGCCAUUAAAAUUUAUCAAAUUGAAUCAUCUUUGUUUAGAUGCAAGAAGAAUCAUAUAGAAAUGAAAAAGUAUAAAUAUAAAUCCAGAGCAAAGAUAUCCUCUAAAUCAGCGUAGCACAUGUGCAGCUGCUGGGAUUCACUUAAGCAUUCGGCUCGUCGCUGUUGCAGAUUUUUCUCUCGCUGUUCUGGCUCACAGCGCUAAAAGCACAAAAAUAAAUAUCUCCAAAGGUGUGAAAGGGAGCUAAUUAGUAAGAGUAUUGUUACUCUCCCCAGGAGUAGUCCAGCAGUAGAAAUCAGUCCAAUAACAAGGUGUGUAACAUCUAGCAGGGUGACAGAAAAACCCAGAGUAACUUCUAAGGACCUCAACGUCUCUCUCACAUUGCGUUUUUUAAACGUUUCCAUUUGUCACUUCAGUCUUUACUCUGAAAUACAGGAAGAGAAAUCAUGGCUGAAACAAUUUCUCAUGAAACCAGGGGUGUGGUCCAACAGUCAGUUUUGGUGAGGAAGGUUCCUAACUGAGAGAAGUGACCCAGAAGUAUCUGUGUAGGAGCCACAAUGAAUCAAGAUCAUGAGCUUUAUUAACUGAUCAGAGUCUAUUCUUUCAUCUUCUGUAUUAUUCAGUUUGCAUUGGUAAUGCCCAUUAUUGUAAUGCUUUUUUAAGAUGAGUGAAACUUUAUUUUACUUUGGGUUAGCUGGGAUAAGUGAUGGAUGGAGGGAAUUUUACUUCAGUCACAGAAAUCCUAAACAGGAAGGAGGAGCAGAGUUACAGUGGAUCACUAUCCAGCAGGGAAACAAGAUUUAUUUCAAUUUCUUGGCCAUGAGUGAGAUUUACAAAGUGGGCAAAUUAGGGUGAUGACACUGUUCCAGAGUGAUCUAUUAAUAGUGCACCAAUUUACAUUCAGAGAUGCAUGCAGCCAGUUCAUUUCAGUAUUAACCGGCUUUCUACCAACAGCAGCACAAAAACAGCAGAUUCGAUCAUGGAGACACUGAAUCUGCUAAACUAAUUAAAACAUUGUAAGUUCAGGUCUUCAGUUUACGUUUCUUUGUGAAAACAGCACAGCAAAGGAGACUCUGAUAUUUUGGUAUAAGGGAUAAAUCUUCUGACCAAACCUGCUGGGACUGUGUGAGGUCCUGAGGCUAAGAGUAAGGAUUUAUCCACAGGAGAGCUGCGUUCUUACAAACCAUCCCACUGUGUAAACCUGACAUCUGUGGAACAGCUGAGCUGUAUGAUGUGUACAAGGACACAAAACAUUAUUUACCAUCAGAUCCCGAGCCCUCCACGUGUUAAUCAAGAAACUGCUGCUGUGCUACAUCCAUAAAUAAUGAAUAAAUUAGGAGCUAAAGAAGCUAAAAGGACAGUUUAUUUGUACCAUCUUCAUGUGAACACAUUCAAGAACAUCACAGAUGAAAGAAACAUUAAAAACUUCCACACUACAUAAAGCAAGAAAAAUAGUUUUUCUUUCAGGUGGUUUCAGAAAAA